This 541-nucleotide ribosomal RNA is filed under the name Elaphe climacophora (Japanese ratsnake). RNAcentral describes it as "partial 16S ribosomal RNA". It matches the Rfam family "Bacterial large subunit ribosomal RNA", at positions 1797 to 2606 of the family's 2925-position model. The record is from RNAcentral. Lineage: Eukaryota; Metazoa; Chordata; Lepidosauria; Squamata; Colubridae.
CGCCUGUUUAUCAAAAACAUAACCUUUAGCAAAACAAAUAUUAAAGGCAACGCCUGCCCGGUGAAUAUUAAACGGCCGCGGUACCCUAACCGUGCAAAGGUAGCAUAAUCAUUUGUCUACUAAUUAUAGACCUGUAUGAAAGGCAAAAUGAGGGUCUAACUGUCUCUUAUAAUCAAUCAAUUAAACUGAUCUCCUAGUAAAAAAGCUAGAAUAACACCAUAAGACCAGAAGACCCUGUGAAGCUUAAACUAAACUAUUAAAACAAAUAAUAACUACUUUUGGUUGGGGCGACCUUGGAAAAAAAAAGAACUUCCAAUAUAAUGACUUUACCUCAUACUAAUACACCUAGGCCAACAAGCCAACUAAUGACCCAGCAUAGCUGAUAAUUGAACCAAGUUACUCCAGGGAUAACAGCGCAAUCUUCUUUAAGAGCCCAUAUCAAAAAGAAGGUUUACGACCUCGAUGUUGGAUCAGGACAUCCUAAUGGUGCAGCCGCUAUUAAGGGUUCGUUUGUUCAACGAUUAACAGUCCUACGUGAUCU